RNAcentral lists this ribosomal RNA (253 nucleotides) under uncultured bacterium. Its description in RNAcentral is "partial 16S ribosomal RNA". It matches the Rfam family "Bacterial small subunit ribosomal RNA", at positions 524 to 776 of the family's 1533-position model. The record is from RNAcentral.
UACGUAGGGUGCGAGCGUUAAUCGGAAUUACUGGGCGUAAAGCGUGCGCAGGCGGUUGUGCAAGACAGAUGUGAAAUCCCCGGGCUCAACCUGGGAACUGCAUUUGUGACUGCACGGCUGGAGUGCGGCAGAGGGGGAUGGAAUUCCGCGUGUAGCAGUGAAAUGCGUAGAUAUGCGGAGGAACAUCGAUGGCGAAGGCAAUCCCCUGGGCCUGCACUGACGCUCAUGCACGAAAGCGUGGGGAGCAAACAGG